GUAACAUUUUAGGUUAGGUGAACUCCUCACAGUGUUAAUUUUGUUUUGAAAGAUAAUUCCUACAAAUAGUGAGUGAUGUAGUGGAUGGCUGGAAAGAAGAGAGGCAGCUUGAUGGACGAAGCGGCAGCUUCUGGUGCUACCGGCCUCACCAUCUCUCUCCUAAGCGCCCUCACUUCACUCCCCAGCUAACCAAGACCCUCACGUCACCAUGCACGUCCCACGCUGCACCUGGAGGAAGGUGGUGCGCGACUGCCUUCUGGAGGCGGUUAUGAUCGUAAGAACUAGGAGGCCAGAAACAAUUCCAUGACUCCCCGGCCUCCUCCAACCUUGCUUGGCACUAUGGUAGUG
This 348-nucleotide long non-coding RNA is filed under the name Gadus morhua (Atlantic cod). Its description in RNAcentral is "lncRNA (ENSGMOG00000035952.1)". The record is from RNAcentral. Lineage: Eukaryota; Metazoa; Chordata; Actinopteri; Gadiformes; Gadidae.